CAGACGUGGCUGGGAAAUGUUCGCGGAGAAAGAGCGGGUCCUGUGGAGCCGAGAGCUGCUCAGGCGUAGUUCCUUUGGGACGGGGACCCGGUAGUCGGUGCCCCUGGCUCGGGACUGGUGGGUCAGGUCUCGCAGGCCCCGAAGUUUCGCAGGGCCUUGCCCUUUCGGAAGGGGCGGGGGGUCGCCUUUUCACCUGCGCCAGCUGUGGCCCUCGUGACGGGCGGGGUCGGGGUUCGGCACGCCCACCCCCCGGGCCCGGAUCUGCGCGGUGUCUUCGAGGGGCUCGGUCUCCCGGGUGAGGCGGCCUCCGGGCCUCGGAGCCCGGUGCUAGCGGCCCUGGUGGUCCCACGCGCGGCCUGGGGGUCCCGCAGGGAGGAGCGGAGGGGACUCGCCCCCGCCCCCCCCCCCCCGAGCCAUUGAGGGAGCAGAGCUGCAGUAGCGCCGGGAGGCAGCCUGCGAGAGGCCCCGGCGGGAGAGAACGUCCUAGAGAUGGAAUCUGACUCUGUAUAACCUCCUGGGGCUGGCUUCUGUCACUCAGCACCAGGCCUUGGAGACUCAUUUGUCUUGUAUGGCAAGGAAAAUACAGUCUCUCGGCUGAGAACCCUUUCACCCUCCUGAAACCAACAUAAAUCUGCCCAGAUCUGUGUCAUCACAUUCUUUAUCCCUCCCAUGUUAGUAGAGGGCUGUCUGCCCUUCUGUCUGCGCCUUGGAUCCCAUCCAUCCUACAUUUCCAAGACCUUUAAUUUUCCCUUCUCCCUCUUCAUAGUUUAUACACCUUUGCAACUGUACCCUUCCUAUUUUUUGCCCAGCUUUGAGGUGUAUUUUACAUACAAUUAUCUUCAUCAAUUUUAUUUGAAUGGUUUGAGUUUUAACAAUUGUUUAUGGUUGUGAAACAUCUACCAAAUCAAGAUCUAGAACUGUAUUGUCCCGAUUGAAGAACCCCCUAGCCAUAGGUAGCUAUUUAAAGUUAAAUUAAUUAAAAUGAAAUGAAAUUAAGCGCUCACCUCCUUACUUGUACUAGCAAUAUUUCAAAUCCUUAUGGCCACUGCUGUAUUUGACAGCCCAGGGACAGAAAGUUUUCCUCAUUUCCGAAGUUAUUUUGGACAGUUCUACUCAGUGCUUCUAUAGCUAUAGCUCACAAAUUUUGAUUUGUUAUGUAUGUUAUCAUUAUGUUCAAAAUAUUUUCUUACAUUUCUUAUAACUUGAUAAGAAGAUAAAUAAAGGGGCUGCUGGGUGGCACAGUCUGUUAAGCACCUGACUCGUGAUCUCCGCUCAGGUCAUGAUCUCGCAGUUUGCGAGUUCGAUCCCCACAUCGGGCUCUACGCUGAUGGUGCGGAGCCUACUUAGGAUUCUCUCUCCUCCUCUCUGUCCCUCCCCUGCUUGUGCCUGCACAUGCACUCGCGCUCUCUCUUGCCAAAUAAAUACACUUCUUAAAAAAUUUUUAAAAUAAUAAUUUCUUGAAUAAUUGAUUUAGCACUGUUUAGUUUCUAAUUAUAUGGGGAUUUUUCUGGAUAUCUUAUUGUGACUGGUUGCUAAUUCCAUUUUUCUCAGAGAAUAUAUUGUGAAUGAUCUCGGUCUUCUUACAUCUGAAAAAUGCCUUUAUUUUACUUUCAUUUUUGAAAGGCAUUUCCUCUGUAUAUACAAUUCUAAGGUGACAGGUGUUUUCUCUUUGUAAGUACUUUAAAGAAGUUCCUCCAUCGUCCUCUUGAUCGCAUGGUUUCUGACGUGUUGUCUGUGUUCUUCUGUAUGCAAUGUGUCUUUUUUCUCUCUGGCUG
Molecule: long non-coding RNA, 1775 nt
Organism: Neofelis nebulosa (Clouded leopard)
Lineage: Eukaryota; Metazoa; Chordata; Mammalia; Carnivora; Felidae
Exons: 3
Source: RefSeq, a predicted model, not a curated record